ACUCCUACGGGAGGCAGCAGUGGGGAAUAUUGCGCAAUGGGCGGAAGCCUGACGCAGCGACGCCGCGUGAGGGAUGACGGCCUUCGGGUUGUAAACCUCUUUCAGCUCUGACGAAGCGUGAGUGACGGUAGGAGCAGAAGAAGCACCGGCCAACUACGUGCCAGCAGCCGCGGUAAUACGUAGGGUGCAAGCGUUGUCCGGAAUUAUUGGGCGUAAAGAGCUCGUAGGCGGUUUGUCGCGUCGAAUGUGAAAACCCGGGGCUCAACCCCGGGCCUGCAUUCGAUACGGGCAGACUAGAGUUCGGUAGGGGAGUCUGGAAUUCCUGGUGUAGCGGUGAAAUGCGCAGAUAUCAGGAGGAACACCGGUGGCGAAGGCGGGACUCUGGGCCGAUACUGACGCUGAGGAGCGAAAGCGUGGGGAGCGAACAGGAUUAGAUACCCUGGUAGUCCACGCCGUAAACGUUGGGCGCUAGGUGUGGGGUUCCUUCCACGAACUCCGUGCCGCAGCUAACGCAUUAAGCGCCCCGCCUGGGGAGUACGGCCGCAAGGCUAAAACUCAAAGGAAUUGACGGGGGCCCGCACAAGCGGCGGAGCAUGCGGAUUAAUUCGAUGCAACGCGAAGAACCUUACCAAGGCUUGACAUGCACGGGAAAGUUCCAGAGAUGGUUCCCCCGCAAGGUCCGUGCACAGGUGGUGCAUGGUUGUCGUCAGCUCGUGUCGUGAGAUGUUGGGUUAAGUCCCGCAACGAGCGCAACCCUUGUCUUAUGUUGCCAGCGGGUUAUGCCGGGGACUCAUAAGAGACUGCCGGGGUCAACUCGGA
This 819-nucleotide ribosomal RNA is filed under the name uncultured Actinomycetes bacterium. RNAcentral's name for it is "bacterial SSU rRNA". It matches the Rfam family "Bacterial small subunit ribosomal RNA", at positions 335 to 1167 of the family's 1533-position model. The record is from RNAcentral. Lineage: Bacteria; Bacillati; Actinomycetota; Actinomycetes.